UCUCCCCCUUCCCAACCUAGCCCCACCACCUCGUCGACAGCUAUUACGCCAAAACCAACCUGACCGUGUUUGAGAUCAUCAACCUCUUUGCCUCCAAGAAGCUCUCCGUGCAAGAUAUGGUCGUCCUCUCUGAGGACCAAACCAUCGGCUUCUUCGUCGAAGGUCUUCAAGCCUCAACACCAAAAAUAACAAGCCCGGAUGAAAAGGGUUCUCUCAUUUCACAACUUAGUUGUAUUUUUGAAACUUUGUAAUUGAUUUGUUGAAUUCAGAAAGGUUUCAGACAAUUUUUAUUUUGAUAAUGAUUUAUGACGAUAUGUAUUUUCGCAACUUGCAGAGAGGGUUGGGUUUGUUGAGUACACACCAGAUUUGAUGACAGACUGGAGGUCGAAGCCGCUUGUGGGUCUCUAGGCCAUGGUGGAGGGUGAACGAGAUGGGGGGAAGGGUUGCUGGAGGGGCAUGGUGGCUAGGGGGUUGAUUGAUGAAGGGGUGGCUGUAAAGAGAGAUAGAGAAUAGGGCUCUUGGGUGGGCUGGGCCGUGAAGGGGGGAUAUAGAAAGAGAGGUUUUUUUUUUUUUUUUUUAAAAAAAUAAUUGUUAUUUUAUUAUUGUUAUACUUUAUUUUUUGAUUUAAAAUACAUUUAAAAAUUUAAAAACAAAAAGUUAAUAAUAGUAGUUUCAAGGACGUGUCAAGUGUUAAGAUGGGUGUUGAGUAUAUACAUUUGAUUAAAGUGGUGAGCAAAAAUACUCGGACUGAAGUGGUUUGGGGUUUAGGGCGUGAGUUAUUACCCUCCUUUACCCUCCUUUACGUGACCCUCCAUUUUUAUGGGGUCGUGAGUUAUUAUCUCUUGGUCUCGAUUGGCG
Molecule: long non-coding RNA, 858 nt
Filed under: Prunus dulcis (almond)
Lineage: Eukaryota; Viridiplantae; Streptophyta; Magnoliopsida; Rosales; Rosaceae
Description: sRNA ncRNA
Source: RNAcentral